Long non-coding RNA from Oreochromis aureus, 651 nucleotides. RefSeq lists it as uncharacterized. The record is from RefSeq and is a predicted model, not a curated record. NCBI's taxonomy places the organism in Eukaryota, Metazoa, Chordata, Actinopteri, Cichliformes, Cichlidae. The transcript is spliced from 3 exons.
UUCAGUCGUCAAGACCUACAGCUCAAACUUCUGGACGCCAUCUUCUAUGGAUAACAUAAACUUAAGUUUGGAACCUCUCUCGGCUACCUUCCCCGGAGCCUCAUGGCUUUGACCUUCAAAUAUGCAUCCUGGAGCUCAGUUUACGUUCAAAUGAGGGAGAAAAAAUGGCAUGGACAGGAAACAGUAAAGGAGAGGAGUGUGAACCUUUAGCUCCGUUUGCAGUCCAGUCUGAAAGGCUGCCAAUGUGAAGAGCCCUAGCUGUGAAUUCCCCACUGAGAUGGGCUUGGUCCAGAGGGAAUGCAAGCCAGUCUCCAGCCUGCGUUCCUACCUGAGAACAGCUGCAGCCUCCAUCUGCCAGCUCUUCAUGGUGGCUACCUGAGGGAAACACGCUCCACCCCUCCAUUUCAGAAGAGAGGCAGCAUUCUUUUGACAGAGGGGGAUUUCAGGGUUUAAUGACAUCAGUAGGACACUUUCCCUGGUUGCUGGUAAAUAUGUGUGCAAGUCUCUCCUUGUGAAACACACAUGGGCACAAGAAAGCACACACACACACAUAAGCAAGCACUUUUAAAAAAUCUAUUCUAGAACUUAUCUUGAUCAGGAUAAAGUCGUAAUUGGAAUAAGCAGAGCCUUUAUAUUCAGCCCAAUCUCUCC